Cygnus olor (mute swan) is the source of this 1998-nucleotide long non-coding RNA. RefSeq lists it as uncharacterized. The record is from RefSeq and is a predicted model, not a curated record. NCBI's taxonomy places the organism in Eukaryota, Metazoa, Chordata, Aves, Anseriformes, Anatidae. The transcript is spliced from 6 exons.
AAAAAGGUUUUUUUGUUUGAGGAAGGAAAUAAUUUUAUUUUCAGUAUCUUUCAGGAGGUGGUUAGGGAGAUCGUUAUAUGUGUAAUGUAAAUUGGUCAGGCUGUGCUUCCCAAGGACUCUACUUCUCAGCUGUACCAUAUGCUUCCAAAAAAGUUUCUACUCUUCACCUGAUGGAUGGACAGGAGAGAAGCAAAGUCCUUUACCUCCACUUUGGUCAUCUGUGAUUACAAUACACCUGCUAAAAUAAACUAGUGAACUUAGAGCAUCAGGCUAUAGAUAAAGCCUUCGAAAGCCAUACUAGUGGUACCUGUAUCCAUAAAGGAGAGAUGUAUGUUGCAUGCAUAGAUUAAAGGGACGCUGGCUGAAAGUGAGUACAACCUUGAGAGCAGCAGCAGGAGCACCUGCUCACUGUGCAGUUGGACUUUGAUUUUUACUGAUCCUCUCUCUGUCAUUAUCCAACCUUACAGGCAAAGGUUUUUAAGAUUUUCUGGAGAUUUCCUUGCAGAGUGAUGUUGAAUUAGCCUACUUUACACCUUGUAUUGCAGAGGAAGUUGCCGUUUUUGCCUAGGGUAUCUUCACAGUCAGAGCUGUAAAAUGCCAGAAAGGAGAAAUGUCUUACAACAACUUCCGAGAAAGCAGACUGCGGUUCUCAGACUCCCUUAAUGGCCAGCGCUGGAUAUUCCUGAGAAAAGGCCUAGAUGACUUCCGAGAUGGCUUUCCCCCUUCAUCUGAUAACAUGAUUGUGUAUGGUAAAAAGCGUCCGUCUCAAUUAUCGUGAAAAACAGCACAGGGAACUCUUCAUACACAGCUCCAGGGAAGAAAAGCAAGAAGCGCACCAAAACACAGAUUUAUCUUUCCAAGCUCAGCCCUCUGCAGCAAGCCAGGAGGGAUUACGUUGCACAGAUAGAGCACUGCCUGAAACAGCAUCCCACAGUGCUCUGCCCACAUUUGGAAAAAAGUAGCUCCCCAAAGAUAAUGAUUUUUGUAACCCUGGUUAUACAGAUUCUUCAGAAAAUUGAAACGGGAAACUAAUCUAAUUGAUGACUAUUUUCAAUUAACAACAACAAAAUUAGAUAAAUCCACCACCUCUUUCUUUCCAUGGUAAAAACAAAGCGAGUGAUAUCAAAGGUAGCUUAGAUUUAGACAGUAGGUCCAGAUUGUCAGCAAGUAAUUCGCAGAACACUAUUAUAAACAGGCUGAGAAAUUGAGUGCCUGCCUUCACAGAUUACAGAAUACCUUAUCUGUUAGGCUAUCACCAGGCACUGACACAAAUGGAUGCUAUGGGGCAGGAAGCAAGUCUAAUCAAAAUUGAAAAAUUAUCUGUGCUCAAGAUAUUUGGGUAUAAUCUCAUUACCUUUAUUUUUCAGCCUGUUUACAGAAGCUUAUCUCUUCUCCCAGCCUCUGGUUCUUCAAAUUUCUCUCCUUCAUGCAAGCAAAAGGUAGCAGAUAGUUCUCUUGUCUGUCUCGGAGUUUUCAGAACUUGGUUAUUUGGAUAUUGUAAACAGAGGACUGUGACCAAACACAGUGGCAGAAUUGGUCUUUUCACUUCACAAAAGGAACAGGGGAGAGCUGGGAGACUGUGUUGGAAAGGGCAGACUUCAUACUACAGUACAAGGGGACACUGGGUAUCAAGCACCUUUGUCUGUAUUGCUGUUUAGGCUGCUCCAGGGGUUUAUACUACCCUAAGCUUGGAUGCGGUAAGAUGUUGAAGGAUGGAUUGAUUGAGAGAAACCUUAGAGUUCGGAAAAGGGAAUUGGGUCUCUGUUCUGUAAGAUUAUGCAACAGCAGAGCUCUCCCUGAUCCCUGGCUGCUAUUACCGGGGGAAUGGAACAUGAAACACGGGGUUGUCCUGAAGGGAAGAAACUUAAAAUCUGCUGAAAUAAAAUCUUAUAUGUAGUACAGCAGAUUGCCAUAGGAGAUGGCCGAGACCAGAAAUUCAGCAUGAUUCAGAGGUUUGGCAAGCAGCCUGAGUUGCAAUUAAUACUUUAGAGACUUUGA